This 253-nucleotide ribosomal RNA is filed under the name uncultured bacterium. Its description in RNAcentral is "partial 16S ribosomal RNA". It matches the Rfam family "Bacterial small subunit ribosomal RNA", at positions 524 to 776 of the family's 1533-position model. The record is from RNAcentral.
UACGGAGGGGGCAAGCGUUAUUCGGAAUUAUUGGGCGUAAAGGGCGCGUAGGCGGCUUGACAAGUCAAAGGUGAAAUCCCUCGGCUCAACUGAGGAACUGCCUUUGAAACUGUCUGGCUUGAGGCCGGGAGGGGGUAGCGGAAUUCCCAGUGUAGCGGUGAAAUGCGUAGAUAUUGGGAGGAACACCAGUGGCGAAGGCGGCUACCUGGACCGGUUCUGACGCUGAUGCGCGAAAGCGUGGGUAGCAAACAGG